UACGUAGGGGGCUAGCGUUGUCCGGAAUCAUUGGGCGUAAAGAGCGUGUAGGCGGUCCGGUAAGUCCGUUGUGAAAGUCAAGGGCUCAACCCUUGAAUGCCGGCGGAUACUGUCGGGCUAGAGUCCGGAAGAGGCAAGUGGAAUUCCCGGUGUAGCGGUGAAAUGCGCAGAUAUCGGGAGGAACGCCUAUGGCGAAGGCAGCUUGCUGGGACGGUACUGACGCUGAGACGCGAAAGCGUGGGGAGCAAACAGG
RNAcentral lists this ribosomal RNA (253 nucleotides) under uncultured bacterium. RNAcentral's name for it is "partial 16S ribosomal RNA". It matches the Rfam family "Bacterial small subunit ribosomal RNA", at positions 524 to 776 of the family's 1533-position model. The record is from RNAcentral.